Molecule: ribosomal RNA, 492 nt
Filed under: uncultured bacterium
Lineage: Bacteria
Description: partial 16S ribosomal RNA
Rfam family: Bacterial small subunit ribosomal RNA
Source: RNAcentral
AGUGAACGCUGGCGGUAGGCCUAACACAUGCAAGUCGAACGGCAGCACAGUAAGAGCUUGCUCUUACGGGUGGCGAGUGGCGGACGGGUGAGGAAUACAUCGGAAUCUACUUUUUCGUGGGGGCUAACGUAGGGAAACUUACGCUAAUACCGCAUACGACCUACGGGUGAAAGCAGGGGAUCUUCGGACCUUGCGCGGUUGAAUGAGCCGAUGUCGGAUUAGCUAGUUGGCGGGGUAAAGGCCCACCAAGGCGACGAUCCGUAGCUGGUCUGAGAGAAUGGUUAGCAACACUGGCACUGAGACAAGGACCAGACUCCUACGGAAGGAAGCAGUGGGGAAUAGUGGACGAGGGGACAAAGGCUGAUCCAGCCAUACCGCGUGGGUGAAGAAGGCCUUCGGGUUGUAGAGCCCUUUUGUGGGGAAAGAAAAGCAGCAGGUUAAUACCCAGCUGUUCUGACGGUACCCAAAGAAUAAGCACCGGCUAACUUCGUG